GGAUGAUGGAGUCCAGCAGGCGCAGUGCAGGCCCCUUCAGAAACUCAUGCUUCAGUAUUGCUGAGAAUCGCUGCUAGUAAAAACUUCUGCUCUUUUUCAGACACCCUUCACAAGCUUCUGAAGCACUUCUGUGUUCCGUUUGUGUUUGGUGUUGUUUUAGCAGAAACUUGUUCCGUUACUCUCAUAGUAUAUUUUAAAAUUAGGGCACCACCUACAUUUUACAAAGCAGUUGUCUGGAGUUUAUGUGGAUGCUCACUGAUGUCAUUCCUCACUGGGAUUUCUAUAAAAGCUUGGAGUGUAUUUUCUGAGAAUCCCUGUCAGAGAUGCCCUGG
Non-coding RNA from Lepisosteus oculatus (spotted gar), 332 nucleotides. The record is from RefSeq and is a predicted model, not a curated record. Lineage: Eukaryota; Metazoa; Chordata; Actinopteri; Semionotiformes; Lepisosteidae.